RNAcentral lists this ribosomal RNA (460 nucleotides) under uncultured bacterium. Its description in RNAcentral is "partial 16S ribosomal RNA". It matches the Rfam family "Bacterial small subunit ribosomal RNA", at positions 338 to 795 of the family's 1533-position model. The record is from RNAcentral.
CCUACGGGAGGCAGCAGUGAGGAAUAUUGGUCAAUGGACGAGAGUCUGAACCAGCCAAGUAGCGUGAAGGAUGACUGCCCUAUUGGUUGUAAACUUCUUUUAUAUGGGAAUAAAACGUUCCACGUGUGGGAUUUUGUAUGUACCAUAUGAAUAAGGAUCGGCUAACUCCGUGCCAGCAGCCGCGGUAAUACGGAGGAUCCGAGCGUUAUCCGGAUUUAUUGGGUUUAAAGGGAGCGUAGGUGGAUUGUUAAGUCAGUUGUGAAAGUUUGCGGCUCAACCGUAAAAUUGCAGUUGAAACUGGCAGUCUUGAGGACAGUAGAGGUGGGCGGAAUUCGUGGUGUAGCGGUGAAAUGCUUAGAUAUCACGAAGAACUCCGAUUGCGAAGGCAGUUCACUGGACUGCAACUGACACUGAGGCUCGAAAGUGUGGGUAUCAAACAGGAUUAGAUACCCUAGUAGUC